Molecule: transfer RNA, 71 nt
Filed under: Marmota monax (woodchuck)
Lineage: Eukaryota; Metazoa; Chordata; Mammalia; Rodentia; Sciuridae
Description: tRNA.Ala
Source: RNAcentral
GGGGAUGUAGCUCAGUGACAGAGGACAUGCUCAGCAUGCAUGAGGCCCUGGGUUUGAUCCCCAGAACCACA